GUGUCCAGGGAUGGGAAUCGAACCCACAGUGUUCCGCUUACCGGGCAGAUGCCAUGUCCACUAGGCUAUUGAUA
This 74-nucleotide transfer RNA is filed under the name Cordylochernes scorpioides. Its description in RNAcentral is "tRNA-Thr". The record is from RNAcentral. Lineage: Eukaryota; Metazoa; Arthropoda; Arachnida; Pseudoscorpiones; Chernetidae.